RNAcentral lists this ribosomal RNA (423 nucleotides) under uncultured bacterium. RNAcentral's name for it is "bacterial SSU rRNA". It matches the Rfam family "Bacterial small subunit ribosomal RNA", at positions 358 to 773 of the family's 1533-position model. The record is from RNAcentral.
GGAAUUUUGGACAAUGGGCGAAAGCCUGAUCCAGCCAUGCCGCGUGUGUGAAGAAGGUCUUCGGAUUGUAAAGCACUUUAAGUUGGGAGGAAGGGCAGUAACCUAAUACGUUAUUGUUUUGACGUUACCGACAGAAUAAGCACCGGCUAACUGCGUGCCACCAGCCGCGGUAAUCAGAAGGGUGCAAGCGUUAAUCGGAAUUACUGGGCGUAAAGCGCGCGUAGGUGGUUCAGUAAGUUGGAAGUGAAAUCCCCGGGCUCAACCUGGGAACUGCUUUCAAAACUGCUGAGCUAGAGUACGGUAGAGGGUGGUGGAAUUUCCUGUGUAGCGGUGAAAUGCGUAGAUAUAGGAAGGAACACCAGUGACGAAGGCGACCACCUGGACUGAUACUGACACUGAGGCGCGAAAGCGUGGGGAGCAAAC